This 227-nucleotide unclassified non-coding RNA is filed under the name Hevea brasiliensis (rubber tree). The record is from RNAcentral. Lineage: Eukaryota; Viridiplantae; Streptophyta; Magnoliopsida; Malpighiales; Euphorbiaceae.
UUUUCUAAGCCAGUUCUGAUUAGAUUUCUGGCUGUUGAUCCAAUCAUAGGGUACAUUUCUGUACCAACAUUCGUCUUUGCUCUUUGGCCAUCUGAUCGGCGGCUUGUACCCCGCAGGUGGAGGAACCAGGCAUUCUUUCCUUUCAGUCAUAGGUGGACAGUGUCUCUCCAUCAAGGUCAGUCUGUAAGUACCAUAUUUCCUCCACCUCUUUGGAUCGGUGCAUGGCG